GGGCGCGUAGCUCAGCGGGAGAGCACUCGCCUUACAAGCGAGGGGUCGCAGGUUCGAACCCUGCCGCGCCCACCA
Molecule: transfer RNA, 75 nt
Filed under: Actinomycetota bacterium
Lineage: Bacteria; Bacillati; Actinomycetota
Description: tRNA-Val
Rfam family: tRNA
About the family: Transfer RNA (tRNA) molecules are approximately 80 nucleotides in length.
Source: RNAcentral